AAAACCUCAACAAAUUUUUACAUUAUAUAUUAUAGACAAAAUUUGUACAUUAUACAUAAAUAUCAAGUGUUCAAUAAUUCCCCUAUUCCAGGUGAAGGCAAACAAACUCUGCCCAUUCAUUCCAGACUUCAUCAAUUGCUUCUUGGGGGUAUGGCGCUUCCUGUUUUCCCUUGGCAUACUGCAUAAACAAUGACUAUUAGGGUUUAUAAAUAAAAAGAAAUUCAA
This 225-nucleotide long non-coding RNA is filed under the name Prunus persica (peach). RNAcentral's name for it is "long non-coding RNA (PPER_LNC002251)". Lineage: Eukaryota; Viridiplantae; Streptophyta; Magnoliopsida; Rosales; Rosaceae. The record is from RNAcentral.